This 305-nucleotide ribosomal RNA is filed under the name uncultured bacterium. Its description in RNAcentral is "bacterial SSU rRNA". It matches the Rfam family "Bacterial small subunit ribosomal RNA", at positions 336 to 655 of the family's 1533-position model. The record is from RNAcentral.
UUCCUACGGGAGGCAGCAGUGGGGAAUAUUGGGCAAUGGGCGCAAGCCUGACCCAGCAACGCCGCGUGAAGGAAGAAGGCUUUCGGGUUGUAAACUUCUUUUCUUGGGGACGAAGAAAGUGACGGUACCCAAGGAAUAAGCCACGGCUAACUACGUGCCAGCAGCCGCGGUAAUACGUAGGGGGCAAGCGUUAUCCGGAUUUACUGGGUGUAAAGGGGGCGCAGACGGCAAUGCAAGCCAGGAGUGAAAGCCCGGGGCCCAACCCCGGGACUGCUCUUGGAACUGCAUGGCUGGAGUACAGGAGG